Limulus polyphemus (Atlantic horseshoe crab) is the source of this 431-nucleotide long non-coding RNA. RefSeq lists it as uncharacterized. The transcript has 3 exons. Lineage: Eukaryota; Metazoa; Arthropoda; Merostomata; Xiphosura; Limulidae. The record is from RefSeq and is a predicted model, not a curated record.
UGCGUUACUUGUUCCAACACUUGGGCGGCAAAGAAAAACAGGGGUCGGGGGAGGGGGUACCGUCUUAAGAUUGAUUUCAAGCAGUUUGAAAAAAGAAAGACCUAAUUUAUUCGCCUCGUUCCGCCACAUGAUUUGGAACACUAAAAACCAGGCUCUUCGAGAAGAAAAGUUAAAGAGAGGUUUUUAUUAAGAUCCUUAGCCGUACAAUAAUUAAGAGUGGAAGGAUUUUAGUUGUCUUUAUCAGGCUUUUUAAAAUAAGUCUUUCGUUUAUGUUCCGAAGUUUGGAAGCUGGUCAGGGUUUAAAUCCAUUGUCAAGACCACGAGGUCAAAACUCUUUAAUCAGAUGGUCUUCCAGUCAACAGUUAAAAUAAUCUUUACAAGAACAACUUACCUUGUCAAUAAAUGAUUGAGUGGCUCUGUUAAAAACCUGA